AUAUUAGUUAAAAAUAUUAAAAUUAAUUUAAUAUAUUUUUAUCAUAAAAUGUUAAAAAUAAUAAAAAAAAUUUUAACUAAUUUUUAACAAUAUUUAAAAUAAUAAAAAAAUGCUUUUUUUACGCAAAUUUCAAUGUUAAAUAAGACUUCAUUUAAGAUGCUGUUUUUUAAUAUUUUUAACCUCUGAUCUCAAUACCAAAUGGAGCCUAAUAGUAUUAUAAAUACUUGCUUUCAG
RNAcentral lists this unclassified non-coding RNA (234 nucleotides) under Hevea brasiliensis (rubber tree). Lineage: Eukaryota; Viridiplantae; Streptophyta; Magnoliopsida; Malpighiales; Euphorbiaceae. The record is from RNAcentral.